AUUGAACGCUGGCGGCAGGCCUAACACAUGCAAGUCGAGCGGUAACAUUUCUAGCUUGCUAGAAGAUGACGAGCGGCGGACGGGUGAGUAACGCGUAGAAAUCUACCUAGUAGUGGGGGAUAGCCCAGAGAAAUUUGGAUUAAUACCGCAUACGCCUACGGGGAAAGCGGGGGAUCUUCGGACCUCGUGCUAUUAGAUGAGUCUGCGUCGGAUUAGCUUGUUGGUGAGGUAAUGGCUCACCAAGGCGACGAUCCGUAGCUGGUCUGAGAGGAUGACCAGCCACACUGGAACUGAGACACGGUCCAGACUCCUACGGGAGGCAGCAGUGGGGAAUAUUGCACAAUGGGCGCAAGCCUGAUGCAGCCAUGCCGCGUGUGUGAUGAAGGUCUUAGGAUCGUAAAGCACUUUCGCCAGGGAUGAUAAUGACAGUACCUGGUAAAGAAACCCCGGCUAACUCCGUG
RNAcentral lists this ribosomal RNA (461 nucleotides) under uncultured bacterium. Its description in RNAcentral is "bacterial SSU rRNA". It matches the Rfam family "Bacterial small subunit ribosomal RNA", at positions 30 to 507 of the family's 1533-position model. The record is from RNAcentral.